GCCGCUUUAGCUCAGUCGGUAGAGCGUUUCACUCGUAAUGAAAAGGUCAGGGGUUCGAUUCCCCUAAGCGGCU
RNAcentral lists this transfer RNA (73 nucleotides) under Corynebacterium suicordis. RNAcentral's name for it is "tRNA-Thr". It matches the Rfam family "tRNA". From Rfam's summary of the family: Transfer RNA (tRNA) molecules are approximately 80 nucleotides in length. Their secondary structure includes four short double-helical elements and three loops (D, anti-codon, and T loops). Further hydrogen bonds mediate the characteristic L-shaped molecular structure. tRNAs have two regions of fundamental functional importance: the anti-codon, which is responsible for specific mRNA codon recognition, and the 3' end, to which the tRNAs corresponding amino acid is attached (by aminoacyl-tRNA synthetases). tRNAs cope with the degeneracy of the genetic code in two manners: having more than one tRNA (with a specific anti-codon) for a particular amino acid; and 'wobble' base-pairing, i.e. permitting non-standard base-pairing at the 3rd anti-codon position. RNAcentral also lists the same sequence under 1 other name. The record is from RNAcentral. Lineage: Bacteria; Bacillati; Actinomycetota; Actinomycetes; Mycobacteriales; Corynebacteriaceae.